Molecule: long non-coding RNA, 1360 nt
Organism: Sapajus apella (tufted capuchin)
Lineage: Eukaryota; Metazoa; Chordata; Mammalia; Primates; Cebidae
Exons: 2
Source: RefSeq, a predicted model, not a curated record
UGAAGAUACACGAGUGGAUAGAGGAUGGAUGGAUGGACGGAGGGUUGAGGAAAGAUGGAUGGGUGAAUGUAUGUAUGGAGGAUAAGUAGAAGGAAGACAAAUGGAUGGAUAAUUGCUUUAUGGAUAGACAUAUGGAUGGAUAUUUGAAUGAUAGCCUUCUGUUAAUGGAUGAAUGGAUGGGUGAGUGGGUAAGAGUGUUAUAAAUGGAGGAGUGGAUAUAUGGAUAGUAGUUUAUAGUUGGGUGGCUGGAUAGAUGGAUGGAAAGAUAGAAAGAGAGGUGAAUGAUUGGAUGCAUCAGCAUAUGACAAGCAGGUACAACUCUAGGUGGUCUCUAUGCCCUGAGACCCUGAGGAAAAUAAGGAUGCCUGUGCUGGUGGCCCUCGCCUGGCCCUCCCUUGUAACCCCUCAACCACAUUCCCUGGGAAGGCAACAGAGGUCUCUGGUCUUGCCCAUUCAACCUUUGGCACACUGAGUGUCGGGCUCAGGUCUCUGUCUUGGACCCAGAUCUCCUUAAGGUUGCGUGUGUCUGAUCCUCUCUGGCCCUGGGACCCAGUCACUGAAUAUGUGGCUGAGACUGAGACUGAGACUGGGGGUUGGGGGGCAGGUACCUUGGGCUCAAGCUCCCCUUGAAGGAGCAGAUGGCGCCCACUCUCUGCCAAGUCUCUCCCUGAGGUGUCCUGAGAACCUCAAAGACAGAAGGUCUCAGCCCCUCACCUGGGACCCUGCCUCCUCUUCUUCCCUGGGGGAGUCUCAGGCCUGAGAUGGGGACCCAGACCCCACUGUCCCCAGACCCCAAGGAAGCAUAGCCCCUGUUCACAUGAGCCUGGGCUAGGCAGGCCCUCACUGUGUUGCAGAUUGGCAGACGCUGCCUCCCUGUGUGGAGCUGGACCCACUGCAGGAGAGCCUGGAGGAGGAGACCCCUGGCGCCAGCCUGUGGCCCACCACCGUCACCUUCCUCACCCUCUUCCUGCUGAGCCUGUUCUACAGCACAGCACUGACCGUGACCAGCAUCCGGGGCCCGUCCAGCAGCAGGGAGGUCCCCCAGUUCUGAGCAGCAGCCAGCAGAGCACAGGGAGGAAGUGUGGAGGAACCUCUUGGAGAAGCCAGGCAUGCCAGAACUCAGCCCUUUCAGAAGCCACCGACCCACCCCUACUCACAUGCCUUCCAGGUGCAAUAAAGUGGCCCCAAGGAAAAUGUUCACAAACUCUGAAUGAGGAGACAGGGGUCAGGGGAAGGGUGGUGGCUGUAGCCUGGAGGACUCCUGCUUCAAAGUCCCCCUGGGUGUCAUGGUGGGUAUGGUGGGCAUGGACAGAGGGUACCUCUGGUCCCAAAAUCAAGAAAGAAGCUGAUCUUGCAUGAG